UACAGAGGGGGCAAGCGUUGUUCGGAAUUACUGGGCGUAAAGGGCGCGUAGGCGGCUUCUUAAGUCAGGGGUGAAAUCCUGGAGCUCAACUCCAGAACUGCCUUUGAUACUGGGAAGCUUCGAGUCCGGAAGAGGUGAGUGGAACUGCGAGUGUAGAGGUGAAAUUCGUAGAUAUUCGCAAGAACACCAGUGGCGAAGGCGGCUCACUGGUCCGGUACUGACGCUGAGGUGCGAAAGCGUGGGGAGCAAACAGG
Molecule: ribosomal RNA, 254 nt
Filed under: uncultured bacterium
Lineage: Bacteria
Description: partial 16S ribosomal RNA
Rfam family: Bacterial small subunit ribosomal RNA
Source: RNAcentral